AGUUUGAUCAUGGCUCAGGAUGAACGCUAGCUGGAGGCUUAAUACAUGCAAGUCGAGCGGGAUUGGGUAGCAAUACCCAUGAGAGCGGCGCACGGGUGAGUAACGCGUACACGACCUACCUCUGACAGGGGGAUAGCCCUGGGAAACUGGGAUUAAUACCGCAUAUUAUUCUGAAUAAUAAAGGUUUGGAAUGAAAGCUGAGGCGGUCAGAGAUGGGUGUGCGUCUGAUUAGCUAGUUGGUAGGGUAACGGCCUACCAAGGCGAUGAUCAGCAGGGGGCGUGAGAGCGUGGUCCCCCACACGGGUACUGAGACACGGACCCGACUCCUACGGGAGGCAGCAGUAAGGAAUAUUGGUCAAUGGGCGAAAGCCUGAACCAGCCAUCCAGCGUGCAGGAAGAAGGCCCUAUGGGUUGUAAACUGCUUUUAUCAGGGAAGAAACCUCUGGAUUUACUCCGGAGCUGACGGUACCUGAAGAAUAAGCACCGGCUAACUCCGUG
Molecule: ribosomal RNA, 498 nt
Filed under: uncultured bacterium
Lineage: Bacteria
Description: bacterial SSU rRNA
Rfam family: Bacterial small subunit ribosomal RNA
Source: RNAcentral